This 497-nucleotide ribosomal RNA is filed under the name uncultured bacterium. RNAcentral's name for it is "partial 16S ribosomal RNA". It matches the Rfam family "Bacterial small subunit ribosomal RNA", at positions 28 to 509 of the family's 1533-position model. The record is from RNAcentral.
GAUGAACGCUGGCGGCGUGCCUAAUACAUGCAAGUCGAGCGAACAGACGAGGAGCUUGCUCCUCUGACGUUAGCGGCGGACGGGUGAGUAACACGUGGAUAACCUACCUAUAAGACUGGGAUAACUUCGGGAAACCGGAGCUAAUACCGGAUAAUAUAUUGAACCGCAUGGUUCAAUAGUGAAAGACGGUUUUGCUGUCACUUAUAGAUGGAUCCGCGCCGCAUUAGCUAGUUGGUAAGGUAACGGCUUACCAAGGCGACGAUGCGUAGCCGACCUGAGAGUGGGGCAGCCAACACGGGAAGUGGACCCCGGCGCAGACCACAAGGGGGGGGCCGGGGGGGAAGUAUCCCACAAGGGGCGAAAGCCGAAGGAGACACCACUGCGGGAUUAAGAAAGUUGUGCGAACCGAAAAACUGGUUAAUAAGAGAAAAACAAAUGUUUAAGUAACAAUCCCCGUCUUGAGGGACCCUAACAGGAGGACCAGACCAAACUAGGCC